RNAcentral lists this long non-coding RNA (2135 nucleotides) under Panax ginseng (ginseng). RNAcentral's name for it is "long non-coding RNA (PGIN_LNC015695)". Lineage: Eukaryota; Viridiplantae; Streptophyta; Magnoliopsida; Apiales; Araliaceae. The record is from RNAcentral.
UCACACAUCUCAAUUCCUUAGCCUCUUGCCUCUCGAGUCUCUGACUGUCGACUGUCUAUCUCACAUCCUCUCCGGCUUCCGCCUCUCGGCUCUCACUGUCUGUCUCGCCGUUUCACCUUUCGCAGCUCCGCACCUCGGCCGGCGGCCUCUCUCCCUAGUCCCUGCGACUCGGCGACUCUGUUCUUCAACUUUGACUGCUCGACCUCUCUUCUGAGUUCCGACUCCAGGUAAAUUUUCAUUCACUAUCAAGAUUCGAGUGCAUGACUGCAUGUUUUGAUUAGUAGUUUAGACUAUGUUCUUCUUUGUACUCUUUUUUCUCUCUCUUAAAAACUGACUCAUAACUCAUAAGUCACAGGGAUAGUGUAAGGAGAGAGGGAGAUCAGAGGGAGAGGGAGAGAGAAUUAGAAAUUUGGUAUUGAAGUUUCACAGCUUUCAGUUGUGUUUUAAGUUUAAUUUUCUACAUAUAUCUUCCAAUUUUCUUAACAACCAAAUGGGUUUCUUUUUUCUAACUCUCUGUUUCAGUGUUUUGGGGAUUAAGUUUAUGGCAUUGGUUUAUGUUUGGUUGAGGAGAUAGUGUUGAAGAAAAGAAUUUGAAAUUAUUGGGCUUGAUGCUUGCAGAUUUAACAAUACAUUGCAUUUGAUUUUACUGAUAGAUUUUAUAUUAAAAAUUUUGGGGGACUUUUGGAUUUGUAUUCUUUAACUAUCAUCAUAAUUAUCAAGUGUAGUUUUAUAACUAAUGAAAUAUAUAAUUUCAAUUAUAAUGUUAAUAUUAAGUUUGUGGAAUGUUAACAAAAUUGUAUCUUUCUACUUCAUAAUUUCUCGUAGCUUUAGUUUAUUUGUUGCUUAAGAACUUGGAAAUUUGUAAUUUUUGAUUCAACAUGACUACACAAUUUAGUCGAUUUUAUUUGAUUUCCAGUAGUUCAGUUUAUUCAAUUUACUGUUGGAAUUUUGUGCUUUAUUUAUUUAUUUAUAUAUAUAGUUUCCUUCUCUCCAUAUUGUUUGCACUCUGCAACUUUCAAUAUGUUAGCUAACUAGCAUGUUAGCUGAUGCAAGCCUAAGUAUAUUUUUUUAAUGUGACGUUGUUCUUCCAUGGUGAAUUUUAAACAGUUUGAGCUGCAGAUUUUUUAAAGGUGUGAGCUGGUAUAUUAGGACUGACUGUUUAUUUGAUAUUGUUAUUGUGUUGGGAUGUGAUUUGCUCUCCCUUUCCUUUCCUUUCCUUUCCUUUCUUUUUCCUUUUGGCUUUAAAUUACUUGAAUUUUGAAAAUUUUGGACAAGUAAAAUAUUCAAUUCUUAUGGAACAAAAAUUUGCUUGGUCAAAAUGAGAAAUGGAUUCUAGCAGAAUGAACGCUAUGGAAAAGCUAGCAUGGCUAAUAUAAGAAUUUAAUCAGGAAGGUUCCUUCGUUGUCUACAUGACCAGCAGAAUUACAAAAUAGGUCUAAAAUAUGACUUGAUUUUCUAACUGUUGAUCAUAGCUAGGACUUUCACUACUGCCAGGAGGCCAAUGGUUGCAAGAAACUCUCACAAUUACCCCUAAUAAUAUUUAUCAUUAGGCCCAGUAACCCAAUGCUAAUGAUGACCUCUUGCUUGUCUUGUAAUGGAGAUGAUAUAUUCCAUCCCAGAGUAAUAUUUGAAUUAGUGAUGAUGAGCUUUGUAAAAUCUAUUGAAGAAAAGAAAUGUUGAGUUUUUGUCUUGCUAUCCUAAUCUUACAUAUAAUCUCCUUUUUGUGUCCAACUCAGAUUUGUGGUUUUAAAGAAACAGAUAAUGGGUGACAGUUUGCUGUUGUAUGGACCAAGUUUAUGAUUAGUACACCAUUAGUCACUGUUGGAGAAAAGUGCAGUUCCACAUCUUAAAUUGGUAUGAGUUAUUGUGACAAGAGAUGUCUGCCUUUCUUGUCCUUUAAAUGAAAGUGGGUAGAGAUGAAAAGAAAUUCACUAUCAUGAUCAUGUAACAUAGAGAGUAAUACAACUUUUUGAAAAAAGAAAAGAAAGUUACACUGUAUAUAUGUGCUCAAUAACCACAUCCUGUGACCAUUAUAUAUAGUGAAGCAUUGGUGCUGCUCUGCCAUCUUUAUUUCUUGCUAGAUUUUAUCACAUCACGAGAAAACUCAUUUAUGCUAUUGUUGAUUCUCAUUUUUG